UAAAGAAAUUUUAAUCUUUAAGUUUCGACCAUGUUUGGUCACCGAAAGCUCUACUGAACUGUAAUCUUUAUCAGAUAGCUGUCGGAUUUUAUUUUUCACUUUCUAGGUGUCAGAAUGGCAUGAAGCUUUAAAUCUAGCCCCAUAAAAAUAAUUUUGACAUAUCCUCCAGUUUUUAUAAUUUUCUGACACUGUGCAUUUUCUGCUAAUUUAUCUGCCCCAUUUCUCACAGAAAAUUCUAAAUCUUCUGUUUUCACUUCGAUUUCAGCACAGGUCAUUUCCAACUUAUAUUUCACUUCUCUAAAUCCAAUAAAAAUAGUAUCUCAUACUAUCUUUAUUUAUUUUCACUUUUAUAUUUAAUAUCCGGUAUAUUACAUUCCACCGCAACCUCACCGGAACCAUUCAAAUGGCUUUCCAAUCAAAUGUACCCCGUAGCUUUAUAAUUUUAGAA
Molecule: long non-coding RNA, 448 nt
Filed under: Ananas comosus (pineapple)
Lineage: Eukaryota; Viridiplantae; Streptophyta; Magnoliopsida; Poales; Bromeliaceae
Description: long non-coding RNA (ACOM_LNC004286)
Source: RNAcentral